Molecule: long non-coding RNA, 2678 nt
Filed under: Sus scrofa (pig)
Lineage: Eukaryota; Metazoa; Chordata; Mammalia; Artiodactyla; Suidae
Description: lncRNA (ENSSSCG00040017382.1)
Source: RNAcentral
AAUUAUCUUUAUUUUUAGUUGUUUAUCUAGACAUGCCAAUGGAUAUUUAGGCCACAUUUUGAGCAAAAACCACAAGGUUUUUUUUUCUUUUUUUCCCAAACCUCACAUUUGUGUACACAAAACAACACAAUUUUAAAGGUUUGCUUAAAAGAACAAAGCAUAAGAAAUACAGUGAGAUACAAGUUCAUAACCAAUGUUCCAAUCAGUGAGCAGAUCUGAUUCAACAUGAGAAAAGGUUACAAAACAAGUCUGUGGUUUCUAAGAAGAACUAUCUGGAGACAGUGUUGCAGGACACGCUCCAAGUCCCAUUGGGGAAGCUUUAGGCAGGUAGAAACAGAGCAGGAUUUUCACUCAGCCUAGCAUGGAGUUAUGGGUAGGUCAGGGUUUCAGGGACAAGGGUCUGACCAUUCACAGGUGCCGUAAAAAGGAAAAGCAGACUUUGCCUGUCAGGCCUGGCAGUUGCUACCUAUUCUGUCUCUCUUAAUUUGAUUGUAAUUUUACCUUCAACGCACUAAAAAUAGCCCUUUGAGUCCUUUCUCCUCAAGCAUUGAAAGAAUUAAACUUGAGAAGUCAGUUCUUGAUGGUCCAUGGACUAAGAGAAGAAAGCUAUGAAGAUAAAGUCCACGGAUGAUCCAGCAGCUGUGUCUUCACUAGUAAUUGGAUUCCUUCCAUUGAAAUAUUGCAAGAGAGCCACUAGUAGGCAAGGGGCAAAAAAAGGUUUUCACAUUCUUUAUUGUUAACAAACAGGGAACUCAAAAAAUGUCCAAAUGGCUGAAAAGAGACAAAGGUGUCUCAUUUAUGCACCACAUCUCAUUUUACUUCAGAUUUUUUAUCAUACUAGAAACUGCUUCAUAGCCUUAACUGUUAGAUAUUUGGUAGCUUUUUUCCGUGAGCUCUUUUGCAAGAUCUAACAUACUUUUGCCCUGUAAACAUGGAACUACUAAAAAUGCCUCCAAUCUUAUGUAAAUUAUGAUAUAAAUAUAGUUUAAACAACACAGUCCAUUUCCUAGAGUCAAAGUUGAGGCUCCAGUAGCUAAAACAGCCUCUUCUCUCUUAUCUCUAUCAUUUCUUCAUCAGUAAUUGCUUUCCUUGAUUUGAUCUCAUGUAUAUUAAAAAUAGAUUACUCAAAAGCCCUCUGUAUCACCAAACCAAAAGAAGAGAGGGUUGGAAGCAGAAAUACAUUCAAUAUGUUCUCGUUUGAGGCUUCACCCAGCUGAGAGCUUCAGAGUAUUAAAGCAAUAAAGAAUCAUGUGUUAGUUCAUAGGUAUUAGAGAAAAACAAAAAAAAAAACCCAAAACAAAACCCAAAGUUAGUGUUACGUUUUCACAACGUCCCUUCUUACCCAUAUCAACAAUUUUAACUUAUCACCCAUCCAUUUCACAAGAUUUUCACACUUUCUUCAGUACCAUCUGAUAACCUCUCCUACUUUAAUGAAAGUACAAGCAACUUUCCACAUUUCCCUUCAACCUUAAUUCUGCAAGCCUCAGUCUCUCUUCAGGAACUUCAUACAAUCCAGUCAAGUUUCUAACAUUUUAUUUGUAUGUUAGGAGGACACACACACACAAAAGAGUUGCACUUAGGAAAUGAGAGUCAGCUUGCGAAACAGCUUGAUAGUGGCAGAAACAAUCAUGUUAUCGUUCUCCCACUACCACAUUGUUUAAGGUAAAAAGAGGGGGGCAUUGCCAAUUUUCAUUUCGCAUUAGUUAUGCUAGAAGUUCUAAAGAAAAGGUUUAAUGCACAGAGUUUAGCUGACUUAGAGAAGAAUGCUGUAACAAAUUGAUUUUACGGCCAAGUGUCUGCAGAAAAAAUGGCAACCAAAGUCCAAAGUGACUCUGCUAGCUAGAGCCAUGAUCAACCACAAUAACCUGCCAGGACGGUAAAUUCUACCAGAAAACUGAAAUAGUUUCUUAAAUUAUAUAAACUUCUGCUAAACAGGUGGGAAGUUGUUCACAUGAAAUGAAGGAAAAAGAAAAAUCCAGUUACUAUUAACACCAAAGAAAUGCACGGCAACCAUAAACCAAAGACGCUUUGGUACUGCAGCCAGAACAGACGACAAGUCGUAUAACCACAAGCUUAUCGGCUGGCUUGUGAAAACAGAGUGCAACAUCGUUGUGUUGAAAGUGACUUCAGGCUGGCUGAAGGGUCUUGUGAAUCUGAGGAAACGAUGCUUGUGCCAUAGAUUAAACACUAUGGUCCCAAGCGGAAUGCACGUGAAGUUUCCAAAAUAUUUCCUCAAAGACUUUAUUCAGUUUUGGUUUGUGACCUCAGCUGGAAAGCAGAAAGAUGGACAUGGGAAGGCAGUUCAGAGGGACAUCUGUGAGGAUUUCGGUUGGGCAGCUUUCAGAAGAUGAAAGAUGUUUAAAGUUAAGGCCUUUAUCUGCAAACAAUAGUAUAUUAAUAAACUCUAUACCAUAUUUACAAAUGCAUUCUCUUGUAUUAAAACUAACAGUAUUCUGUUCACAGUGCCAUGUUUAUACAGGUAGCAAUCCCAUAAUACUCUUGUAUUUUGGCAUGGGGAUCAGUAGCGCUUGGUAUUUACAGAAAAUGUACAAGUGUGAAUAUAAACAUGUCACUGAAUCUGAGUUAUUGAUAAAAGACAGAUUGGCUAAUGGUGCAAAGGAAUGAACUGUACAGCACCUUCCCCUCGGAUUGGAUAGGAAACGUGGUUUCUUAAACUG